UACAGAGGGGGCAAGCGUUAUUCGGAAUUAUUGGGCGUAAAGGGCGCGUAGGCGGCCUGGCAAGUGGAAGGUGAAAUCCCUCGGCUUAACCGAGGAACUGCCCUCCAAACUGCUUGGCUUGAGUCCGGGAGAGGUGAGUGGAAUUCCCAGUGUAGCGGUGAAAUGCGUAGAUACUGGGAGGAACACCGGUGGCGAAGGCGGCUACCUGGACCGGAACUGACGCUGAGGCGCGAAAGCGUGGGUAGCAAACAGG
This 253-nucleotide ribosomal RNA is filed under the name uncultured bacterium. RNAcentral describes it as "partial 16S ribosomal RNA". It matches the Rfam family "Bacterial small subunit ribosomal RNA", at positions 524 to 776 of the family's 1533-position model. The record is from RNAcentral.